GACGAACGCUGGCGGCGUGCUUAACACAUGCAAGUCGAGCGGUAAGGCCUUUCGGGGUCCACGAGCGGCGAACGGGCGAGUAACACGUUGGUGAUUUGCUCUGCACUCUGUGAUAAGCCUGGGACACUGGGAAUAAUACCCUAUAUGCCCUCCUAUCUCAUGGUGGGUGGGGUCAAGAUUUAUCGGUGCUGGAUGGGCCCGCUGUCUAUCAGCUUGUAAUUGGUGUACUGGCAUACCAAGGCGACGACGGCUAGCCGACCUGAGAGCGUGACCAGGCACACUGGGACUGAGACACGGCCCAGAAUGCUACGGGAGGCAGCAGUGGGGAGUAUUGCGCAAUGGGCGAGAGCCUGAUGCAGCGACGCCGCGUGAGUGAUAACGGCCUUCGAGUUAUGAACAUCUUUCUACGGAGACGAGGCGAAAGUGACGGUACCUACAGAGAAAGCAACGGCUAACUACGUG
RNAcentral lists this ribosomal RNA (462 nucleotides) under uncultured bacterium. RNAcentral's name for it is "partial 16S ribosomal RNA". It matches the Rfam family "Bacterial small subunit ribosomal RNA", at positions 28 to 507 of the family's 1533-position model. The record is from RNAcentral.